This is a non-coding RNA of Xenopus laevis (African clawed frog), 69 nucleotides long. Lineage: Eukaryota; Metazoa; Chordata; Amphibia; Anura; Pipidae. The record is from Rfam.
AGCACCCAAAACAGGGCUCUCUUUUGUGACUAAAUUAUGAUGAGAAAGUGCUUUAUGUUUUGGGCGUUC